GCCAGGUGUGGUGGCUCACACCUGUAAUCCUAGCACUUUGGGAGGCUGAGGCAGGUGGAUCACUUGAGGUCAGGAGUUUGAGACCAGCCUGGCCAACAUGGUGAAACCCUGUCUCUA
Molecule: small RNA, 117 nt
Filed under: Pongo abelii (Sumatran orangutan)
Lineage: Eukaryota; Metazoa; Chordata; Mammalia; Primates; Hominidae
Description: Metazoan signal recognition particle RNA (ENSPPYG00000039163.1)
Source: Rfam by way of RNAcentral